Molecule: ribosomal RNA, 492 nt
Filed under: uncultured soil bacterium
Lineage: Bacteria
Description: bacterial SSU rRNA
Rfam family: Bacterial small subunit ribosomal RNA
Source: RNAcentral
AGAAUCAACGCUGGCGGCGUGCCUCAGACAUGCAAGUCGAACGAUUAAAGCUCUCUUCGGAGAGUGUAUAGAGUGGCGCACGGGUGAGUAACACGUAAGUAAUCUACCUUCGAGUGGGGAAUAACCCGGGGGAAACCCGAGCUAAUACCGCAUAAUGCAGCGGCAUCGCAAGAUGACAGUUGUUAAAGGAAUUUAUUUCGCUUGAAGAGGAGCUUGCGGCAGAUUAGCUUGUUGGUAAGGUAACGGCUUACCAAGGCUACGAUCUGUAUCCGGUCUAAGAGGACGGUCGGACACACUGACACUGAAUAACGGGUCAGACUCCUACGGGAGGCAGCAGUCGGGAAUUUUGGGCAAUGGGCGAAAGCCUGACCCAGCAACGCCGCGUGAAGGAUGAAGUAUUUCGGUAUGUAAAACUUCGAAAAGAAUAGGAAAGAAAUAAAUAGACGUAACUAUUUAUAAGCUUCCGGCUUAACUACGUAGCCAGCAGCCGGC